UACGAAGGGGGCAAGCGUUGUUCGGAAUUACUGGGCGUAAAGCGCGCGUAGGCGGCUAUCCAAGUCAGUGGUGAAAGCCCGGAGCUCAACUCCGGAACUGCCAUUGAAACUGUUUAGCUUGAGGACGAGAGAGGUGAGUGGAAUUCCCGGUGUAGAGGUGAAAUUCGUAGAUAUUGGGAAGAACACCGAUGGCGAAGGCAGCUCACUGGCUCGUAACUGACGCUCAGGCGCGACAGCGUGGGGAUCAAACAGG
This 253-nucleotide ribosomal RNA is filed under the name uncultured bacterium. Its description in RNAcentral is "partial 16S ribosomal RNA". It matches the Rfam family "Bacterial small subunit ribosomal RNA", at positions 524 to 776 of the family's 1533-position model. The record is from RNAcentral.